UUGAAGCUCCUUCGGUGUCUCAAAGCCAUGAAAUCAAAGGAGGUUAUUGUACAAAUGGAGCUUAAAGUGGAAGGAAUACGGAGAAUAAAUGAAAAAAAUAAAUUAAUGGAAUUGAAGAAUUAAGAUGAUGACAUGAUAGGGGAUGAAAUUACGAGAACAUGGGCGAAAACGGCGAAGAAAACGGAGUUGAAACGAGAAAGUUAUGCUGAAAACAAAAUUGCAUGCUGAAGCCUACCAUAACUUACGAUGGCUACCGUAAUUUACGGUAGACCCUGAAUUUUCCCAUUUCCACCGUAAUACAGUAGUGUUUCACCGUAACAACUUGAAGUCACACGCAAAUUUAAUCCCAAUAACAACUAUAGAUAGCGGUAAAAGGGUAUCGAACUCAGGGAGUAUGUGGAAAGUGUGUUGAUUUUCUAGCCUCGCGAAUUAACUACAAUUAACCUAAUUUGCAGAAAAUAAAGUUUAAU
RNAcentral lists this long non-coding RNA (470 nucleotides) under Helianthus annuus (common sunflower). RNAcentral's name for it is "sRNA HanXRQr2_Chr04g0175711". Lineage: Eukaryota; Viridiplantae; Streptophyta; Magnoliopsida; Asterales; Asteraceae. The record is from RNAcentral.